AAAAAGACAAAUCCUGGUUUCCGUGUCCAACAUUUGACCGUCCGUCUUAUUUGAAAAAAAAUAUGAAAAAAAUUAAAAAGACAAGUCACGCAUAAAAUAUUAAUCAUGUUUUAUCAUCUAACAACAAUGAAAAUACGAAUUAUAAAAAAAUUUCAUAUAAGACGGACAGUCAAAGUUGGACACGGAAACCCAUGGUUUAUCUUUUU
RNAcentral lists this microRNA precursor (206 nucleotides) under Oryza barthii. Its description in RNAcentral is "MIR812 microRNA precursor family". It matches the Rfam family "MIR812 microRNA precursor family". The record is from Rfam by way of RNAcentral. Lineage: Eukaryota; Viridiplantae; Streptophyta; Magnoliopsida; Poales; Poaceae.